This 406-nucleotide ribosomal RNA is filed under the name uncultured bacterium. RNAcentral describes it as "partial 16S ribosomal RNA". It matches the Rfam family "Bacterial small subunit ribosomal RNA", at positions 28 to 526 of the family's 1533-position model. The record is from RNAcentral.
AUUGAACACGGGCGGCAGGCCUAACACAUGCAAGUCGAACGAGUGGCGGACGGGUGAGUAAUGUCUGGGAAACUGCCUGAUGGAGGGGGAUAACUACUGGAAACGGUAGCUAAUACCGCAUACCGUCAGGUGUGCCCAGAUGGGAUUAGCUUGUUGGUGGGGUAACGGCUCACAAAGGCGACGAUACCUAGCUGGUCUGAGAGGAUGACCAGGCACACUGGACUGGAGGCACGGGCCGGACUCAUACGGGAGGCAGCAGUGGCGAAUAUGGCACGAUGGGCGCAAGCCGGAGGCAGCCGCGCGGGGUGUAUGAAGGUGGGCUCCGGGGUGUAAAGUCCUUUCGGCGGGGAGGCGGUACCCGCCGAUGAAGCACCGGCUAACUCCGAGCCAGCAGCCGCGGUAAUUC